Haemorhous mexicanus (house finch) is the source of this 730-nucleotide long non-coding RNA. RefSeq lists it as uncharacterized. The transcript is spliced from 2 exons. The record is from RefSeq and is a predicted model, not a curated record. Lineage: Eukaryota; Metazoa; Chordata; Aves; Passeriformes; Fringillidae.
GUGGAGUUGCCAGGUGCGGCGAAGCGCUUGCCAUGUUCCACCUCAGGCCUGGCUGCCUUUCAGCAGAGAAUGAAAUGAGCACUGUGCACAGCAUUUGCACUGAGCCCGGAUCCUCUGCAGGGAAGAGUGCUAGAGAAGCAGCCUACCCAAGGACCAGUGCUGGAGCCUUGUCACAAAAGGACAGCCAUGGAGUGCUCCUGAUCCCUUCUCAGCUCCUUGGGCAGGAGAGCUGGUGCCAGGAGCAGCAGGAUGUGCAACCCAGCAUGCCUUGCCUGCUGCCUCCACUGAGGAGGGCUGGCACUGCCUGCACUUCUCCCCGCCCCGUUCCUGGCCAGAGACUCAGCAAUUUCCUCAGGAAUGAAUCACGAACAAAAAACCAAACAACAGCUAUUUAAGAAGGUUUCGUCUCCCUCUGGAACUGUCCUCAGAAGUAUCAUAUUCCUGACAGUUUAUUCUUCAAGAAUUUAGUCAUCUAAGGUUACAGUGACUCAUGUGAUGAACCUUCUGCCCAUUUCCUGGAAAGAGUCUUGCAUGGUUCUCUACACCUCCUGCCAUUUUGCUUCAGGGUCUCAGUUCUCACUUCAUUUUCAUAAAGUUCAACUUUCCUUCAAUUUUGGGGUGGAGGAAGAAGGCAAAAAUAUCUUGAGUGUACUCAAAUUUACAAUGUAACCAGAAAGCUGUGUGGUGAAAGAAACAUUUGGAAAAUAAAGAUGGAUACUGAACCAGAGAA